CUACAAAAAUACAAAUAAUUAGCUAGGUGUGGUAGUGUGUGCUUGUAGUUUGAGCUAUGCAGGAGGCUGAGGUGGGAGGAUCACCUGAACUUGGGGAGGUUGAGGCUGCAGUGAGCCAUGAUCACACCGCUGCACUCCACCCUGGGUGACAGAGUGAGACCCCAUCUCAAAAAGUAAAAAAUAAAAUAAAAUGUAGCUCUGUUCUGAAUCAGAGGCUUGCAACUGGGAUGGGUCACCGUGAGCUUUAUAACAUGGCAUAUUUCUGGAACCCACGUGAGACCUAUUGAAUUGAAAAUCUCAGGUCGGUGGAAGGAUUCAAAAUCAACCUGAUUCGGAGUGAGGAGCACUUUCAGAGUUACUGCAACAAGAUAUUUGCUGGCUGGGACUUCUGCAUCACUAACCGUGGCAUGGCGGAUCUGAAGCACAGCAGCUUGCGGCAGAUCUGGAGGAAGAAAGAAUACGGCAGAAAAUAGCAGAAAGGACCUCAGAAGAAACAAUACGCAUUUACUCUUUGAGACUGUUUUUGAACUGUAUUGUUCUGGCUGUUUUAGGGGCGUGCUUUUAUGCAAUAUACGUAGCAACUGUCUUCUCGC
RNAcentral lists this small RNA (593 nucleotides) under Pongo abelii (Sumatran orangutan). RNAcentral's name for it is "processed transcript". The record is from RNAcentral. Lineage: Eukaryota; Metazoa; Chordata; Mammalia; Primates; Hominidae.